This 110-nucleotide ribosomal RNA is filed under the name Pseudomonas reidholzensis. Lineage: Bacteria; Pseudomonadati; Pseudomonadota; Gammaproteobacteria; Pseudomonadales; Pseudomonadaceae. The record is from RNAcentral. RNAcentral also lists the same sequence under 2 other names.
UGACGACCAUAGAGCAUUGGAACCACCUGAUCCCAUCCCGAACUCAGCAGUGAAACGAUGCAUCGCCGAUGGUAGUGUGGGGUCUCCCCAUGUGAGAGUAGGUCAUCGUC